RNAcentral lists this ribosomal RNA (253 nucleotides) under uncultured bacterium. RNAcentral describes it as "partial 16S ribosomal RNA". It matches the Rfam family "Bacterial small subunit ribosomal RNA", at positions 524 to 776 of the family's 1533-position model. The record is from RNAcentral.
UACGGGGGGGGCAAGCGUUGUUCGGAAUUACUGGGCGUAAAGGGCUCGUAGGCGGCCAACUAAGUCGGCCGUGAAAUCCCCAGGCUCAACCUGGGAACUGCGUCCGAUACUGGAUGGCUUGAAUUCGGGAGAGGGAUGCAGAAUUCCAGGUGUAGCGGUGAAAUGCGUAGAUAUCUGGAGGAAUACCGGUGGCGAAGGCGGCAUCCUGGACCGACAUUGACGCUGAGGAGCGAAAGCUAGGGGAGCAAACGGG